RNAcentral lists this ribosomal RNA (253 nucleotides) under uncultured bacterium. RNAcentral's name for it is "partial 16S ribosomal RNA". It matches the Rfam family "Bacterial small subunit ribosomal RNA", at positions 524 to 776 of the family's 1533-position model. The record is from RNAcentral.
UACGUAGGGUGCAAGCGUUGUCCGGAAUUAUUGGGCGUAAAGAGCUCGUAGGCGGUCUGUCGCGUCGGCUGUGAAAACCCGGAGCUCAACUCCGGGCCUGCAGUCGAUACGGGCAAACUGGAGUGUUGCAGGGGAGACUGGAAUUCCUGGUGUAGCGGUGAAAUGCGCAGAUAUCAGGAGGAACACCGGUGGCGAAGGCGGUUCUCUGGGCCUGUACUGACGCUGAGGAGCGAAAGCGUGGGGAGCGAACAGG